CAGCGUUCAUGUCGUAAUAGUUG
This 23-nucleotide non-coding RNA is filed under the name Mus musculus (house mouse). The record is from RNAcentral. Lineage: Eukaryota; Metazoa; Chordata; Mammalia; Rodentia; Muridae.